CUGGACUCUCCCAGUGAUUGCCCAAAUGAUAUGCUGGAUAAAGUUUAUAAGGCCAAUUUAUUGAUAUCAGCACUUCCUAGGACUGUCCAAGGCACUACGCAGUGAUAAUGACCAUAGUAUUUCGGUUUUACAGAACAUAUUCCCUCUGACAUGCAGUGAUUGCAUCCAUUUUUCUUAGGGAACAGAAUCAUCGCUUCCAUUUUACAAUUGCUAGUUGAGCCACAGAAGCAAACAUCUUAACAAGAGAACCAAAUAGAUGAUGAGGGAAGUGGUCAUGAGCACAUAUAUGAGACACACCUCUGGGAAUUCCCAGAUAUGACUCAGUGAUGUGCUGAAGGUACAGAGCAGCUUGCCUUUAAGAUGUAAUUCUUCACCUGACUCCACUCUGUCUGCAGCCUGAAAACUUCCAACUGAUCUCGUUCCUUCCCUCAGAUCUUCCAGCCUCAGAUUUCUUCAUUGCUCUCCUCUGAACACUCACUUUCAGAACCGAGGAUCAGGCAUUGCAGAGGGAUGUGGAAAAGGGGAGAUGGUCCCUCUCAUCCAAAGGCAGUUGCAAGAAUCUGAAACAAAGUGACAGACUACUGAAAUCACAGACUCUGACAAGUCGAGAAGUGCAGUGUCAUCCAAGCCAAACCUCUUCUACAAUCUCUGAAAGAUGCUCAUCUUCUGGCUGAAUAGUCCACUGAAAAGAUACUCACCAUCCCACUGACACAGUUCCAGCCAGCGUUUAUGGAGCACCUGCUGCGUGCCAAGCUCUGUUCCCCUGGCCCCUGGCCCCGUGGAGUCUAUGGUCUGAGGCAGGGGGGAAGGUGAGUGAGCAAGUAGCUAUAGUUACAUGUGGGCUGUUUUAGUUGCCCCCUGUUGUUGAAGGAGGUUAUUCCCAACCUGGGGUGGGAGGGAUAACUGAACACAUGCCACACA
RNAcentral lists this long non-coding RNA (921 nucleotides) under Canis lupus familiaris (dog). RNAcentral describes it as "lncRNA (ENSCAFG00845021449.1)". Lineage: Eukaryota; Metazoa; Chordata; Mammalia; Carnivora; Canidae. The record is from RNAcentral.